RNAcentral lists this ribosomal RNA (250 nucleotides) under uncultured bacterium. RNAcentral describes it as "partial 16S ribosomal RNA". It matches the Rfam family "Bacterial small subunit ribosomal RNA", at positions 524 to 773 of the family's 1533-position model. The record is from RNAcentral.
UACGUAGGGUGCGAGCGUUAAUCGGAAUUACUGGGCGUAAAGCGUGCGCAGGCGGUUGUGUAAGACAGGUGUGAAAUCCCCGGGCUUAACCUGGGAACUGCGCUUGUGACUGCACGGCUAGAGUACGGCAGAGGGGGGUGGAAUUCCACGUGUAGCAGUGAAAUGCGUAGAUAUGUGGAGGAACACCGAUGGCGAAGGCAGCCCCCUGGGCCGAUACUGACGCUCAUGCACGAAAGCGUGGGGAGCAAAC